This is a long non-coding RNA of Sorghum bicolor (sorghum), 1406 nucleotides long. RefSeq lists it as uncharacterized. The transcript is spliced from 3 exons. Lineage: Eukaryota; Viridiplantae; Streptophyta; Magnoliopsida; Poales; Poaceae. The record is from RefSeq and is a predicted model, not a curated record.
GGCCUAGAUGCUCUUUCAACACCGGAGCUCGGAUCCGGCGAAUCGAGCGGCGCGGCCAGGGGCGCGCACUCGGUCACUGAGUCACUGGGGCCUCGCUGCACUUCGCCUCGCCGUCGUCGCCGGCCGCUCAAGCUUCCCUGUGCCUGUCCGUGCUUCCUCCCCUAGCGGUUCCUCAAGUCGCUGCCUGCUCACGUUUCCCCGAGCCAGCGGUCAAAGGUCGCAGCACUUGAUUCACCGCUCUCACCGGAGCUCGUCCACGACGCCGGUGAAGCCCUCCGACGGCCUCCCUGCCCCUUCACUGCGGACGCCCCUGCCCUGCACCGUCCUGACCUGCUACACCUGGACCUGCUCUUGACAACACUAGGCCUCUGUAUGACACCUUAGAGGAGGUUAUUGGGAUCAGGGGGUUGGCCAAUGUAGGCUAACUCAAGGAUUUCGGAGCGACGUACGGAGAAGUUUCGGUUCAGGUUGCAUCUGAAUCAUCACUUAACCAAUGCAAAAUUCAGUUGCCAUAGUACUUCCCGGAUCAAGAAACCUUGCGAUUCCUGCAAAAGAUACUUGGACCAUUUGGAUGGAUAAAAUCAAAAUGUCAAACCCAAGAAUUUAGGACUCCAAGAUUGCUGCCACUAUCCGGAAGAUCUUGCGGAAUCAUUUUCUACAAGUUAAUACUCCCUAUGCACUCAUCAAUGUGUUGGUCUAUCCUAUGCCAGUGUCAUCUCUGAUAAGAUUUACUUUUACAAGCCAUGCAUGCUAUUUUUGUGCUGCUACUUUUAUAUGCUAACAAAAUGUUUGAGGCAUAUCUGCUGGAUAUUCAAAUAUUACAAACCAAGUGUCAUAACUUGGUUUGUAAACAACUUUCAUACUUGGAAUACAAUAGUAUAGUUCUUUAUUGAAAUAGUUCUGCUCUUCUCCAAAAUAACCAUAAGGCGCAAAGAAAAAAAGAUCUGAUUAUUCCACAUUUUAAUAGCAAAUGGUUAAACUCCUGUAACUGAGACUACGUUGAUGCUUCAGUAGCCUGUACAAGGAUAUUAAUCUCCAUCCAAAAUACUCUGCAAGUCACUUCUUUGCAGUACUUGUAGUUCACCUAUCACUAUUGUAAGGUUUGAUUUGUUUGGCUCGCCUUUAUAGAUUGAUGAUUAUGCAUUGAAUUUUAUGUGUGGUGGUUAUAUGACAAAAGAUGUAUUUUAUACUCAAAUAUUUAGGACAAUAUUUUAAUAUGCUAAGAUUGUGAAAUAGUUAGGGCAGUGUUUUAAUUUCCUAGGGUAGACUAGGAAUAGAGCAUUAGCUGUCCUAGAAUCCUUUUUUCCCAUGUACCUGCUAUACUGUUCAGGUGUCUCUGCAAGAGUUGUUUGGCGAGAGAUCAUUAUCUAAGAUCGCCAAGUAAAAGAGAUCAGAACUAUGACAUA